AUAAAGUAAGCUAAUUAUAAGCUAGUGGGUUCAUACCCCAACAAUGAAUAAAUUUCCUUUAUU
This 63-nucleotide transfer RNA is filed under the name Ixodes nuttallianus. RNAcentral's name for it is "tRNA-Met". The record is from RNAcentral. Lineage: Eukaryota; Metazoa; Arthropoda; Arachnida; Ixodida; Ixodidae.